AAUGAACGUUGGCGGCGUGGAUUAGGCAUGCAAGUCGAGCGGAAAGGCCCGCAAGGGCACUCGAGCGGCGUAAGGGACAGUAAUGUGUAGGUACGUACCCCUGGGUCUAGGAUAGCUGCGGGAAACUGCAAUUAAUACUAGAUGAUGUCUCCGGACCAAAGGUGUGAUUCCACCCAGGGAGCGGCCUACAUCCUAUUAGCUAGUUGGUGAGGUGACGGCUCACCAAGGCGAAGAUGGGUAGCAGGUGUGAGAGCACGACCUGCGUCACUGGGACUGAGACACUGCCCAGACACCUACGGGUGGCUGCAGUCGAGAAUCUUCGGCAAUGGGCGAAAGCCUGACCGAGCGACGCCGCGUGCGGGAUGAAGGCCUGG
This 374-nucleotide ribosomal RNA is filed under the name uncultured bacterium. RNAcentral describes it as "bacterial SSU rRNA". It matches the Rfam family "Bacterial small subunit ribosomal RNA", at positions 29 to 419 of the family's 1533-position model. The record is from RNAcentral.